RNAcentral lists this ribosomal RNA (463 nucleotides) under Chlorociboria awakinoana. RNAcentral describes it as "eukaryotic LSU rRNA". The stretch from base 158 to 311 matches the Rfam family "5.8S ribosomal RNA". The record is from RNAcentral. Lineage: Eukaryota; Fungi; Ascomycota; Leotiomycetes; Helotiales; Chlorociboriaceae.
CAUUACAGAGCUCAUGCCCUGCGGGGUAGAUCUCCCACCCGUGACAUCUCACCCCUCUGUUGCUUUGGCGGUCGCGAGCCCCUCGCCGAGGGGCCGGCGCCGCCAGAGGCCCCAAACUCAGUGUCUACGUGUCGUCAGAGUACUAUGAAAUAGUUAAAACUUUCAACAACGGAUCUCUUGGUUCUGGCAUCGAUGAAGAACGCAGCGAAAUGCGAUAAGUAAUGUGAAUUGCAGAAUUUAGUGAAUCAUCGAAUCUUUGAACGCACAUUGCGCCCUAUGGCAUUCCGUAGGGCAUGCCUGUUCGAGCGUCAUUACACCCCUCAAGCACUGCUUGGUGUUGGGCCCCGCCGCUCGGCGGGCCUCAAAUCCAGUGGCGGUGCCUCCAGGCCCUGAGCGUAGUACGUCUGCCGCUCCAGGGGCUGGGGGCCACCGGCCAGCAACCCACCUCCUCGGUUGACCUCGG